RNAcentral lists this ribosomal RNA (942 nucleotides) under Lactarius sp. (in: basidiomycete fungi). RNAcentral describes it as "Lactarius sp. (in: Russulaceae) partial large subunit ribosomal RNA". It matches the Rfam family "Eukaryotic large subunit ribosomal RNA", at positions 35 to 954 of the family's 3401-position model. The record is from RNAcentral. Lineage: Eukaryota; Fungi; Basidiomycota; Agaricomycetes; Russulales; Russulaceae.
UAAGCAUAUCAAUAAGCGGAGGAAAAGAAACUAACAAGGAUUCCCCUAGUAACUGCGAGUGAAGCGGGAAAAGCUCAAAUUUAAAAUCUGGUGGCCUUUGGCCAUCCGAGUUGUAAUUUAGAGAAGCGUCUUCCGCGCUGGACCGUGCACAAGUCUCCUGGAAUGGAGCGUCAUAGAGGGUGAGAAUCCCGUCUUUGGCACGGAUGCCCCGGUGCUUCUGUGAUGCGCUCUCGAAGAGUCGAGUUGUUUGGGAAUGCAGCUCAAAAUGGGUGGUGAACUCCAUCUAAAGCUAAAUAUUGGCGAGAGACCGAUAGCGAACAAGUACCGUGAGGGAAAGAUGAAAAGCACUUUGGAAAGAGAGUGAAACAGUACGUGAAAUUGUUGAAAGGGAAACGCUUCAAGUCAGUCGCGUCGAUCGAGACUCAGCCUUGCCUUGGCUUGGUGUACUUCUCGGCUCGACGGGUCAGCGUCAAUUUUGCACCUCGGAUAAUGGCAGGGGAAAGGUGGCACCUUUACGGGUGUGUUAUAGUCUCUUGUCGCAUGCGAGGGGUGGGAUUGAGGAACUCAGCACGCACCUCGGUGUCGGGGCUUUUGCCCACGUAACGUGCUUAGGAUGCUGGCGUAAUGGCUUUAAACGACCCGUCUUGAAACACGGACCAAGGAGUCCAACACGCCCGCGAGUGUUCGGGUGGAAAACCCGUGCGCGUAAUGAAAGUGAAAGUUGGGACCUCUGUCGUGGAGGGCACCGACGCCCGGACCAGACCUUCUGUGACGGAUCUGCGGUAGAGCGUGUGUGUUGGGACCCGAAAGAUGGUGAACUAUGCCUGAAUAGGGUGAAGCCAGAGGAAACUCUGGUGGAGGCUCGUAGCGAUUCUGACGUGCAAAUCGAUCGUCAAAUUUGGGUAUAGGGGCGAAAGACUAAUCGAACCAUCUAGUAGCUGG